This is a non-coding RNA of Macaca mulatta (Rhesus monkey), 966 nucleotides long. The record is from RefSeq and is a predicted model, not a curated record. Lineage: Eukaryota; Metazoa; Chordata; Mammalia; Primates; Cercopithecidae.
CAGUCUCGCUUAAUUCAGUGUACCACUUAGGUUGAAAACUGUAAUUUGUUUGUGUCAUCAAUCUGUGUGACAAUGUUGUCCAGCAGCUGUCCAGGUAUAGUGAUGUAUGGGUAUAGUGACGUUUGCCUGAGGCCUAGCCCUGCAUACCUGUUGGGAUUCAACUCUGGGAAUGGGCUGGAUCAGUAGAGUAAAAUGAAAAGGGAGUAAGAAAAGUAAGAGUAAUGAUGAGUGAUUCUAAAGAUAGACCAUGGUUUAAUUGCUCAAUAGUGGAGCAAGAAGACUUGAUCAAACAGCAAUGAAAAGGUCAAGGAACUGGUGGCCUUGAAGAAUAGGAGAACGCUAAGAAGAUGGGCAGAAAUCAAAGCUUCCUGGUGUGAGGUUGUGGUAGAAGAUUCCUCCUGGUUGAUCAAUGUAUAGAAGAUGAAAUGGAUUCCAGUUGUGGGAAAGAAGAAGUAAUGCAGUCAAAAGUCCUGAAUUGUCUUGAAUUAUAUGUAGAAGCUAGCCAGAUAGUAAAAGUGGGGAGGGGAAAUUUCAGAGCAAAGGGACAGAUUGUCAAAAAUUAUAGUUUUGUGUUGUUUUAUUUUACUGUGGAACUAUAAGCUGUUUGAUUUGGUUGGAUCAUAUAGUAGAACAAUUAUGUAACAACCGUUCACUGGGAUAUCCAAAAGGCAUCCUCUCAGACUUGUUUUAGAUCCUUUAUGAUUAGAGAAUAUAACUCUCUUAAGAUUCCUUGAGUUUUCAACAACUUUACUCUGCUACUUUUGUGAGGCAUGCAUUUUUAUCCUGGGUGUAAUUUUGGAUAAAAUAUUGCAUUUUUUUCUGUCUUAGACCAAGUGUAUAUAAAUAGGGAAAAUACAAUACUUUAUUCAUAGGCUUGUUGGAGCAUAUAUGAGAUUAUGUCUUAAAGUGUGCUCUGUAACCUGGAAAAGGCAAUACGAAAGUUACUUAUUAAACUGAUGAAAUUUC